GGGCUCGUAAAAAGGAGAGCUAGUUUGCAUCUCUCUCUACAAGGAUGGAAUCAUUCUUCUUGGGAGUGGACUAGAUGGAUGGGCGGCCUAGAUUUAUUA
This 99-nucleotide non-coding RNA is filed under the name Solanum tuberosum (potato). Lineage: Eukaryota; Viridiplantae; Streptophyta; Magnoliopsida; Solanales; Solanaceae. The record is from RNAcentral.